CCCAACCAGAAACCCCGCGACGAGCACCUUCG
RNAcentral lists this non-coding RNA (32 nucleotides) under Geobacter sulfurreducens KN400. Lineage: Bacteria; Pseudomonadati; Thermodesulfobacteriota; Desulfuromonadia; Geobacterales; Geobacteraceae. The record is from RNAcentral.